RNAcentral lists this ribosomal RNA (777 nucleotides) under uncultured Neocallimastigales. RNAcentral's name for it is "partial large subunit ribosomal RNA". It matches the Rfam family "Eukaryotic large subunit ribosomal RNA", at positions 24 to 634 of the family's 3401-position model. The record is from RNAcentral. Lineage: Eukaryota; Fungi; Neocallimastigomycota; Neocallimastigomycetes; Neocallimastigales.
UAUCUCUGUAGAGUCUGCAUAUCAAUAAGCGGAGGAAAAGAAACUAACUAGGAUUCCCUCAGUAACGGCGAGUGAAGGCGGGAAGAGCUCAAAUUUGAAAUCUUCAAGGUUCUACCUUGACGAAUUGUAGUUUAAAGAAGUGUUUUCUGUUGGAGUUUUGGUAAAAGUUCUUUGGAAUAGGACAUCAUAGAGGGUGAGAAUCCCGUAUUUGACCAUUAUUUCCAGCUUUGUGACACACUUUCAAAGAGUCGGAUUGUUUGGGAAUGCAGUCCAAAAUGGGUGGUAAAUUUCAUCUAAAGCUAAAUAUUGGCGAGAGACCGAUAGCGAACAAGUACCGUGAGGGAAAGAUGAAAAGAACUUUGAAAAGAGAGUUAAACAGUACGUGAAAUUGUCAAAAGGGAAGCGUUUGACACCAGUGUUGUUUUCUCGAAAAUCAAUUAAAAAAGGCAGGAUUUUGUGUUGUAUUGACUUUAUCAGCUUUCCUGCACUCUUUUCUUGUCUUUUUUAAUUGCACUUUUCGUUUAACAAGUCAACAUCAAUUUCUUUUGUUGUAAAAGGGUCAUUGGAAGGUGGCUUUCUUUUCGGAGAAAGUGUUUAUAGCCUUUGGCCUCUGCAAUCGGAGAGAUUGAGGUCUGCAGCGUAGAUCCUUCGGGGUUAGAUACAUUUGUGCUAAGUUAUAGCCUUUCAUAGACAACUUGUUGACUAUGAUCAGUCAUGUAGCUUACUCGCUUAUGCUAUUUUACCUACGCUUAGGAUGUUGACGAUCAGCUGAGCGCG